UAGCCCGCGUGGCGCAGUUGGUAAGACUGUUACCCAGGGUAGCACUGUUAGAUGUGCUGUAGAUUCGAAUCCUGCCGCUGGCAAGGUCUCAUUUUGGGCCACUUCUUACCCAUGAAGGCCUCUGUGACCAGGGGCCAAGCCUAGUGAGGCAGUGCUGACAGGGGUGCUGCUUGACAGUGGUGAGGAUGGUGGCCCGCUGGAAGCCACUCUCAUUAGUGCCAAGCAGCCCCCCUGCCACUAGUGCUGAUCUAAGCAAGAUCCAAUGAUUACAGAGGGUCGAGUAUAGGAUGCUUAUACAUACUAGCACCUGCCAAGGCCCCCAGCAUCUAGGGGGCCACCCCAACAACAGGGAAUGAUUUUAAAAACCAUUCAAUUGGCUGCCUCAUCAGAGGGGUGUUGGCCCUAGGCUGCCUAUCACGGACUAGCGCACCGCACAUAUAUGCCUCAGCUGCCGACAUGCUAAUACAACCACUUAGACGUCCCAC
RNAcentral lists this small RNA (485 nucleotides) under Histoplasma ohiense. Its description in RNAcentral is "hypothetical lncRNA". The record is from RNAcentral. Lineage: Eukaryota; Fungi; Ascomycota; Eurotiomycetes; Onygenales; Ajellomycetaceae.